Molecule: unclassified non-coding RNA, 346 nt
Filed under: soil metagenome
Description: partial contains 5.8S ribosomal RNA, internal transcribed spacer 2, and large subunit ribosomal RNA
Rfam family: 5.8S ribosomal RNA (bases 1-119)
Source: RNAcentral
GAUGAAAACGUAGUGAAAUGCGAUAAUUAAUGUGAAUUGCAGAAUUCAGUGAAUCAUCGAGUCUUUGAACGCACAUUGCGCCCCCUGGUAUUCCGGGGGGCAUGCCUGUCCGAGCGUCAUUGCUGCCCUCAAGCACGGCUUGUGUGUUGGGCUUCCGUCCCUGGCAACGGGGACGGGCCCAAAAGGCAGUGGCGGCACCAUGUCUGGUCCUCGAGCGUAUGGGGCUUUGUCACCCGCUCCCGUAGGUCCAGCUGGCAGCUAGCCUCGCAACCAAUCUUUUUAACCAGGUUGACCUCGGAUCAGGUAGGGAUACCCGCUGAACUUAAGCAUAUCAAUAAGCGGAGGA